GAAGAAUAUAUGGUGGAAGGAACAAAGAGAAUUAUUUAAAGGAAGAGCAGACUCAUUCAUUGCCCGCAUGUGUCUCGUCUUAGGGAAAAGGACUUUUUCCCCAUGGAAAGGGUCAGUGGUAGACUCUGUGGUUGGCGUUUUCCUAACACAAAACGUGUCAGAUUAUCUUUCAAGCAAUGCCUUCAUGCUUCUUGCUUCAGCGUUCCCACUUCAAAAUAGUCGAG
RNAcentral lists this unclassified non-coding RNA (224 nucleotides) under Hevea brasiliensis (rubber tree). The record is from RNAcentral. Lineage: Eukaryota; Viridiplantae; Streptophyta; Magnoliopsida; Malpighiales; Euphorbiaceae.